AUAUAUAUAUACCUCAAGAUCCAAAUCAGGAACUCCAAGAAUAGCUAUUCUUGUGGCAGACUUCGCCAUUUUGGAGAGAUUGCUUGAUUCAUCAGAUGACUGAUUCCCGUAAAUGUCAAGCGAAGACCUGAUAUCAUUCCCAACCUGGCAAAUAUAAAUGUACUAGUAACUUCCAACAACACAGUUUCUUUUAAUAAUUUUGUUACAUCAAAAGAAAAGUACUAGUAGAAAGCUAGAAAAAUACUCAAUAUAUAUCAAUUUCUUUGCCGUAAUUUGCAUUGUAGAAAACAAAUAGGAC
RNAcentral lists this long non-coding RNA (298 nucleotides) under Phoenix dactylifera (date palm). Its description in RNAcentral is "long non-coding RNA (PDAC_LNC019672)". The record is from RNAcentral. Lineage: Eukaryota; Viridiplantae; Streptophyta; Magnoliopsida; Arecales; Arecaceae.